This is a long non-coding RNA of Helianthus annuus (common sunflower), 615 nucleotides long. RefSeq lists it as uncharacterized. The record is from RefSeq and is a predicted model, not a curated record. NCBI's taxonomy places the organism in Eukaryota, Viridiplantae, Streptophyta, Magnoliopsida, Asterales, Asteraceae. The transcript is spliced from 2 exons.
UCCCCCCAAAUCGCACAAGCCUGAGAAGACCAGCACUUGCCUGCGUUUGAGACGAUCACAACCAGAUGGGCACCACCACCGGAGCACUAGGCACCCCCCACUCGAGACCCCCAAAUAACCACCGUAUCUCACCAUUCGCGUCUUCAGUGUCCAAGACCCACCAUUCACCACCACCGAAAUACGCCGCACCACCGCCGGUUUCAAGGAACUCACCACCGUAUCUCAACAAUUGAUGAAUUUGUUUAGUUCAAGCUUGUUUCAAGUUACAGAACGGCAACCACGUAAAGUCAAAUUGCAGAAGAACAAAAAGAAAAAAUGUCAAGUGUUCAUUUCGGAUCAAGUUGAAACUAAAGAGCAGUUUCUGUAAUUUUGGAACAACCUCUGUUCAAUUAUAAUCUGAGCCCUUUCUACCACUUCAAGUUAUCCGACUAAGUUUGGAAAGUAUUUGACUAAGUAUCUGAUGAAGAAGCGGAUGAUGACACAGAUAUGACGUACAAUUAUUACAUUUUAUAUGUUAGGUAGUUUUAUGAUGUGUUUGUGAAUUGUGACUUAAAACGAACCCGGAUUGUGACAUUUAUGGUUAUGUUUUUUUUGAAAGGCAACCAUUUAUGCUUA